AAAAUAAUUUUUUUUGAUGAAAAUAUUUCAUCACAAAAAAAGUAUUAUUAGAGACAAAAAUUUUUAUUUUAUUGUAAAAUAUUAUCUGUGAUCCCAUUUUUAGUGACUAAUUAUUAGCGAUGAAAUUUCUUUCAUAAAUAAUUAUUUAUGAUAAUAAUUUAGUAUUUAUGAUAUUUUUUUACAUCAUAAAUAUCUUUUUUUGUUAUAGUAUGUACAAC
RNAcentral lists this long non-coding RNA (218 nucleotides) under Elaeis guineensis (African oil palm). Its description in RNAcentral is "long non-coding RNA (EGUI_LNC007680)". Lineage: Eukaryota; Viridiplantae; Streptophyta; Magnoliopsida; Arecales; Arecaceae. The record is from RNAcentral.